CGGCCACACGUUCGACUUACGGUGUUCGCGGGCGUACUAGCUCUGAGGAUGCAGCUGAAUGCACAACAAUGGCAAGCUUUCGCAGACACAGGAAGCUAUUAGUGGCGUUUCAUUUGCAGUGAAACAGUGUAGUCAGAAACGACAAAGUGGUACAAGGAGUGCGUAAAGAAGAACGUGUGACAUGGGUACAGCUGGUCGCGGAAGGAGCCAGCGGGUGUGUGUCAUUGACAACGCCGUCGGGCACACGAAUGUGGUCGGCAGUUUCAUGCUGUACGACGUCGCCCCCUCUCAGGGUCACGACGGCUAAACGAGAGCCAACGCAUCGUUGAUCAACCCCCGCGCAGGGUGGCCAACUGGAGACUUGCGUCUGCUUAACCUGCCCGCCAGUCCUCUUCGCCUGGAUAGAGCUGCGUGUUGCUUCAGCAGGACUGUGGAUUCAGGCCGAAAAGUCGCGCUGGUUCGGAGCGUUCUGCGUCCGGCGUCAUUUCCGGUAAGUGCUAAUGUCAGCGC
This is a long non-coding RNA of Dermacentor silvarum, 510 nucleotides long. RefSeq lists it as uncharacterized. The transcript is spliced from 3 exons. NCBI's taxonomy places the organism in Eukaryota, Metazoa, Arthropoda, Arachnida, Ixodida, Ixodidae. The record is from RefSeq and is a predicted model, not a curated record.